This 300-nucleotide ribosomal RNA is filed under the name Fontibacillus panacisegetis. RNAcentral's name for it is "partial 16S ribosomal RNA". It matches the Rfam family "Bacterial small subunit ribosomal RNA", at positions 1 to 287 of the family's 1533-position model. The record is from RNAcentral. Lineage: Bacteria; Bacillati; Bacillota; Bacilli; Caryophanales; Paenibacillaceae.
UUAAUGGAGAGUUUGAUCCUGGCUCAGGACGAACGCUGGCGGCGUGCCUAAUACAUGCAAGUCGAGCGGACUCUUGGCAAUCUUCGGAUUGCCCUGGGUUAGCGGCGGACGGGUGAGUAACACGUAGGCAACCUGCCUGUAAGACCGGGAUAACUAGCGGAAACGUUAGCUAAUACCGGAUAAUUUAUUUCAUCGCAUGGUGGAGUAAUGAAAGACGGAGCAAUCUGUCACUUACGGAUGGGCCUGCGGCGCAUUAGCUAGUUGGUGGGGUAAAGGCCUACCAAGGCGACGAUGCGUAGC